Molecule: ribosomal RNA, 113 nt
Filed under: Arabidopsis thaliana (thale cress)
Lineage: Eukaryota; Viridiplantae; Streptophyta; Magnoliopsida; Brassicales; Brassicaceae
Source: RNAcentral
GGAUGCGAUCAUACCAGCACUAAAGAUCCCAUCAAAACUCCGCAGUUAAGCGUGCUUGGGCGAGAGUAGUACUAGGAUGGGUAACCUCCUGGAAAGUCCUCGUGUUGCAUCCA